ACAGAGGGUGCAAGCGUUAAUCGGAAUUACUGGGCGUAAAGCGAACGUAGGCGGUUACCUAAGUCGGAUGUGAAAUCCCCGGGCUCAACCUGGGAAUUGCAUUCGAGACUGGGUGGCUAGAAUGCGGAAGAGGGAAGCGGAAUUUCCGGUGUAGCGGUGAGAUGCGUAGAUAUCGGAAGGAACAUCAGUGGCGAAAGCGGCUUCCUGGUCCAGCAUUGACGCUCAGGUUCGAAAGCGUGGGGAGCAAACAGGA
Molecule: ribosomal RNA, 253 nt
Filed under: uncultured prokaryote
Description: partial 16S ribosomal RNA
Rfam family: Bacterial small subunit ribosomal RNA
Source: RNAcentral